This 363-nucleotide ribosomal RNA is filed under the name Triticum aestivum (bread wheat). Its description in RNAcentral is "partial small subunit ribosomal RNA". Lineage: Eukaryota; Viridiplantae; Streptophyta; Magnoliopsida; Poales; Poaceae. The record is from RNAcentral.
AUGGCGAGAGAGAGAGAGAGCGGCGGUGGGAAGCUAGCUGUGGAGGGCGCGGCGGCUUUCAGAUCCCCUUCAACUCUGAGCUCCAUGUCUUCCUCAAGCUCCCGCACCACCUUGCGGAUGCAGAGCCAGGCGCGUGUGGACAUGCCUGUCUUCGUCUGUCCGCGGUGCCGGGCGGGUGUUGAUCGGAGGGUUUCUCACACAUCGAGGAACCAGAAUCGUCCGUUCUACGUGUGCAGCGAGAAUGGGGUGACGUGCUUCUUUCUUUGGGUCGAUGCUCUGGCCAAGACUCUAAUGAAUGAACUGCAAGAAGAGCAUGAAGAAUGGUUGCGCAUGCUGUCACAAAUGUCAGUGGCCGCAGCAUGA